Molecule: transfer RNA, 73 nt
Filed under: Clostridium sp. N3C
Lineage: Bacteria; Bacillati; Bacillota; Clostridia; Eubacteriales; Clostridiaceae
Rfam family: tRNA
About the family: Transfer RNA (tRNA) molecules are approximately 80 nucleotides in length. Their secondary structure includes four short double-helical elements and three loops (D, anti-codon, and T loops).
Source: Rfam by way of RNAcentral
GUGGACGUAGUUCAGUUGGUAGAGCACCAGAUUGUGGCUCUGGCUGUCGUGGGUUCGAGUCCCAUCGUUCACC